Molecule: ribosomal RNA, 376 nt
Filed under: uncultured organism
Description: partial 16S ribosomal RNA
Rfam family: Bacterial small subunit ribosomal RNA
Source: RNAcentral
GUAGGUGGCAAGCGUUGUCCGGAAUUAUUGGGCGUAAAGCGCGCGCAGGCGGUCCUUUAAGUCUGAUGUGAAAGCCCACGGCUCAACCGUGGAGGGUCAUUGGAAACUGGGGGACUUGAGUACAGAAGAGGAAAGCGGAAUUCCAAGUGUAGCGGUGAAAUGCGUAGAGAUUUGGAGGAACACCAGUGGCGAAGGCGGCUUUCUGGUCUGUAACUGACGCUGAGGCGCGAAAGCGUGGGGUAGCAAACAGGGAUUAGAUACCCUGGUAGUCCACGCCGUAAACGAUGAGUGCUAAGUGUUAGGGGGUUUACCCGCCCCCUUAGUGCUGCAGCUAACGCAUUAAGCACUCCGCCUGGGGAGUACGGCCGCAAGGCUG